UCUGCCAACAUUGAACUAACCUGUAUUCACGUGCAAUUCACGUACGAUUAAGUUACUCAAAAAGGAGCAUUGAGAUCUGAGUUGUAUUAGAAUCCCACCUAAAAUAUUUGUCGUUCUUCGGACGUCAAUUUGCGUUUAAAUUCUUUUAGGUGAGAAAACAAUAUUUCCUAAACUACUUCUCGGGGCUGUUUUCUUAAUAUUUCCGUCUAAAGCAGCCGUAAAAGGGCGAUAUUCGACAGCUAAAGGUAAAAGAUUUGUGUUUACUGCUGAAAUGACUACAACUGUGCUUGAUGCUUUCAAAGAAGCAGGCAUAUCCAUAGUCAAUGUCCCUGCCAACGUGACGAAGUAUUGCCAGCUUUUUAACCUUACAGAGUUCAUUCAUUCUACAAUUACAUGACUACUACAGAAAGAAAAAGAUAUCAUCGAUGUUGGUUGGAAAGGUUCCGGAAUCUUUGAUGCUAUUAAGCUUGGCUCAGACAAGAUCCUAUCCAUCGAUAAUACGAAAUUUGAACGCCACUAAGCCAUUGACUGCAGUUCGGGUUAAGGUGGACAAUUUCUACAAAUUUACGCGUCAAAUCUUGAGGUCGUCUUACUUUAGAGCUUUUGAUUCUCACACAGCUUGAAGGAAGAGACGUUGUUGUAGUCCUAGAUGACACACCACCUCGUGAAACUACUAUCGAGAACUCCACUAAAUACUCUCGUCAUAAAUAAAUAUUUUUUACAGUUUUAUUUAUAUACAUAUAAUAGUCUUUAUAAUGCAACUGGGAAAUGUUACCCGAGGAAAAAACGUUUACCGAGCCAUUUGAUGUAUAAAUAUAUGUAUAAAUGUAUAAAAAUUAUGAAAAAUUAUUUAAAUAGACCGAGUGACUGAAAUCAUACUCCUUUAGUUUCGUUUUAAGUUUUUUAAGGCUGUUACAACUUUUCAAUUCGGAAGGUUAAAUAUUCCAAAUUUCUUUUUGGUCGAUAUGUUUACCGAGCCAUUUGAUAGCUAUUUUGCUAGGGUUCGCAAAAACCAGGA
Molecule: long non-coding RNA, 1018 nt
Organism: Hydractinia symbiolongicarpus
Lineage: Eukaryota; Metazoa; Cnidaria; Hydrozoa; Anthoathecata; Hydractiniidae
Exons: 3
Source: RefSeq, a predicted model, not a curated record